GAUGAACGCUGGCGGCGUGCCUAAUACAUGCAAGUCGAGCGAACAGAUGAGGAGCUUGCUCCUCUGACGUUAGCGGCGGACGGGUGAGUAACACGUGGAUAACCUACCUAUAAGACUGGGAUAACUUCGGGAAACCGGAGCUAAUACCGGAUAAUAUAUUGAACCGCAUGGUUCAAUAGUGAAAGACGGCUUUGCUGUCACUUAUAGAUGGAUCCGCGCCGCAUUAGCUAGUUGGGAAGGUAACGGCUUACCAAGGCAACGAUGCGUAGCCGACCUGAGAGGGUGAUCGGCCACACUGGAGCGGAGACACGGUCCAGACUCCUACGGGAGGCAGCAGUAGGGAAUCUUCCGCAAUGGGCGAAAGCCUGACGGAGCAACGCCGCGUGAGUUAUGAAGGUCUUCGGAUCGUAAAACUCUGUUAUUAGGUAAGAACAAAUGUGUAAGUAACUAUGCACGUCUUGACGGUACCUAAUCAGAAAGCCACGGCUAACUACGUG
RNAcentral lists this ribosomal RNA (497 nucleotides) under uncultured bacterium. RNAcentral describes it as "partial 16S ribosomal RNA". It matches the Rfam family "Bacterial small subunit ribosomal RNA", at positions 28 to 507 of the family's 1533-position model. The record is from RNAcentral.